This 111-nucleotide ribosomal RNA is filed under the name Periophthalmus magnuspinnatus. The record is from RNAcentral. Lineage: Eukaryota; Metazoa; Chordata; Actinopteri; Gobiiformes; Gobiidae.
AUUUGUGACCAUACCUGCUUGUCAGUGCCCAGUCUUGUCAGAUCUUGGAAGCUAAGUAAGGUCGGGCCUGGUUAGUACUUGAACAGAAGGGAUCUCUGGGAGUAUUAAGAU